GGCGAACGCUGGCGGCGUGCCUAAUACAUGCAAGUGGGACGCAAGGACACACACUGUGCUUGCACACCGUGUUUUCUUGAGUCGCGAACGGGUGAGUAACGCGUAGGUAACCUGCCUAUUAGCGGGGGAUAACUAUUGGAAACGAUAGCUAAUACCGCAUAAUAUUAAUUAUUGCAUGAUAAUUGAUUGAAAGAUGCAAGCGCAUCACUAGUAGAUGGACCUGCGUUGUAUUAGCUAGUUGGUAAGGUAAGAGCUUACCAAGGCGACGAUACAUAGCCGACCUGAGAGGGUGAUCGGCCACACUGGGACUGAGACACGGCCCAGACUCCUACGGGAGGCAGCAGUAGGGAAUCUUCGGCAAUGGACGAAAGUCUGACCGAGCAACGCCGCGUGAGUGAAGAAGGUUUUCGGAUCGUAAAGCUCUGUUGUAAGUCAAGAACGUGUGUGAGAGUGGAAAGUUCACACAGUGACGGUAGCUUACCAGAAAGGGACGGCUAACUACGUG
RNAcentral lists this ribosomal RNA (505 nucleotides) under uncultured bacterium. RNAcentral's name for it is "partial 16S ribosomal RNA". It matches the Rfam family "Bacterial small subunit ribosomal RNA", at positions 28 to 507 of the family's 1533-position model. The record is from RNAcentral.